RNAcentral lists this ribosomal RNA (522 nucleotides) under uncultured bacterium. RNAcentral describes it as "bacterial SSU rRNA". It matches the Rfam family "Bacterial small subunit ribosomal RNA", at positions 1057 to 1533 of the family's 1533-position model. The record is from RNAcentral.
AGCUCGUGUCGUGAGAUGUUGGGUUAAGUCCCGCAACGAGCGCAACCCUUGCCAUUAAUUGCCAUCAUUUAGUUGGGCACUUUAAUGGGACUGCCGGUGACAAACCGGAGGAAGGUGGGGAUGACGUCAAGUCCUCAUGGCCCUUAUGGCCAGGGCUUCACACGUAAUACAAUGGUCGGUACAGAGAGUUGCCAACCCGCGAGGGGGAGCUAAUCUCAGAAAGCCGAUCGUAGUCCGGAUUGUUCUCUGCAACUCGAGAGCAUGAAGUCGGAAUCGCUAGUAAUCGCGGAUCAGCAUGUCGCGGUGAAUACGUCCCCGGGCCUUGUACACACCGCCCGUCACACCAUGGGAGUGGGUUUUACCAGAAGUAGUUAGUCUAACCGUAAGGGGGACGAUUACCACGGCAGUAUUCAUGACUGGGGUGAAGUCGUAACAAGGUAGCCGUAUCGGAAGGUGCGGCUGGAUCACCUCCUUUCUAGAGAAGAUCACCUGUCUACAAGCAUUCACGCUUAUCAGUCAUCU